Molecule: transfer RNA, 69 nt
Filed under: Cynoglossus monopus
Lineage: Eukaryota; Metazoa; Chordata; Actinopteri; Pleuronectiformes; Cynoglossidae
Description: tRNA-Ala
Rfam family: tRNA
About the family: Transfer RNA (tRNA) molecules are approximately 80 nucleotides in length. Their secondary structure includes four short double-helical elements and three loops (D, anti-codon, and T loops). Further hydrogen bonds mediate the characteristic L-shaped molecular structure. tRNAs have two regions of fundamental functional importance: the anti-codon, which is responsible for specific mRNA codon recognition, and the 3' end, to which the tRNAs corresponding amino acid is attached (by aminoacyl-tRNA synthetases). tRNAs cope with the degeneracy of the genetic code in two manners: having more than one tRNA (with a specific anti-codon) for a particular amino acid; and 'wobble' base-pairing, i.e. permitting non-standard base-pairing at the 3rd anti-codon position.
Source: RNAcentral
AAGGUUUUAGCUUAAUUAAAGUAUCUGCUUUGCAUGUAGAAGAUGUGGAUUAAAAUUCUGCAAGCCUUA